AUGCAGUUGGAGAUGGAUGCGGUCGAGCAAAACCGCACCUGGGAGCUCGCUGACCUCCCUCGUGGUCACCGCGCAAUCACCCUUAAGUGGGUGUUCAAGCUGAAGAGGGAUGGAGCCGGCGCCAUCAUCAAGCACAAGGCUCGCUUGGUGGCCCGAGGCUUCUUGCAGCAGGAAGGAGUCGACUUCGACGACGCCUUCGCUCCCGUGGCACGGAUCGAGUCCGUGCGACUUCUCCUCGCGCUGGCUGCCCAGGAGGGCUGGCAUGUCCAUCAUAUGGAUGUCAAGUCCGCAUUCCUCAACGGCGACUUGAAGGAGGAAGUCUACGUGCAUCAGCCACCGGGAUUUGCGAUCCCUGGCCAGGAGGGCAAGGUACUCCGCCUGCGCAAGGCUCUCUAUGGCCUACGGCAGGCACCUAGGGCGUGGAACGCCAAGCUAGACUCCACGCUAAAGAAGAUGGGAUUCGAGCAAAGCCCGCAUGAGGCGGCCGUCUACCGACGGGGCAGUGGAGGGAACGCCCUGCUGGUGGGCGUCUAUGUUGACGACUUGGUGAUUACCAGCACCAAAGAUGCAGAGGUGGCAGCGUUCAAGGAAGACAUGAAGGCCACCUUCCAGAUGAGUGAUCUGGGGCUCCUCUCCUUCUAUCUUGGGAUUGAGGUGCACCAGGGUCACUCCGGGAUCGCGCUUCGACAGUCCGCCUACGCCAAGCGCAUCGUUGAGCUAGCUGGGCUCACCGACUGUCACCCAACUCUCACUCCGAUGGAGAGGCUGAAACUGAGCCGUGACAACAAGGCGGAGGAACGACCGACGACGGAGCACCAGCAGGCAGUGAAGAGGAUCGUCCGCUACGUAGCAGGGACCCUCGACCACGGCCUCCACUACCAUAGGUGUCCCGGGGCGGCAAACUUCGUCGGAUACAGCGACAGCGACCACGCCGGCGACAUCGACACCAGCAAGAGCACGAGCGGGAUCCUCUUCUUCCUCGGCAAGUGUCUCGUGAGCUGGCAAUCAGUCAAGCAGCAGGUGGUGGCCCUGUCCAGCUGUGAGGCUGAGUACAUAGCGGCCUCCACCGCCUGCACUCAGGCGCUCUGGCUCGCUCGACUGCUUGGUGUGCUUGGUGAUCUCCUCGUCCGAGACACCAGAACGGUGCAGCUCCUGGUGGACAGCAAGUCCGCCCUGGCCCUGGCAAAGAACCCCGUUUUCCACGAACGGAGCAAGCACAUCCGACUGAGGUACCACUUCAUCCGCAGCUGUGUGGAAGAAGGGAGCAUCGAGGCGAACUACAUCAACACCACGGACCAGCUCGCAGACCUGCUCACCAAGCCUCUUGGGAGGAUCAAGUUCCUCGAACUCUGCUCCAGGAUCGGGAUGAUUCAACCCUCCCACAAAACAACGUACAAGACUUAG
RNAcentral lists this ribosomal RNA (1404 nucleotides) under Triticum aestivum (bread wheat). RNAcentral describes it as "partial small subunit ribosomal RNA". The record is from RNAcentral. Lineage: Eukaryota; Viridiplantae; Streptophyta; Magnoliopsida; Poales; Poaceae.